This 73-nucleotide transfer RNA is filed under the name Stegodyphus mimosarum. RNAcentral's name for it is "tRNA-Thr for anticodon CGU". It matches the Rfam family "tRNA". From Rfam's summary of the family: Transfer RNA (tRNA) molecules are approximately 80 nucleotides in length. Their secondary structure includes four short double-helical elements and three loops (D, anti-codon, and T loops). Further hydrogen bonds mediate the characteristic L-shaped molecular structure. tRNAs have two regions of fundamental functional importance: the anti-codon, which is responsible for specific mRNA codon recognition, and the 3' end, to which the tRNAs corresponding amino acid is attached (by aminoacyl-tRNA synthetases). tRNAs cope with the degeneracy of the genetic code in two manners: having more than one tRNA (with a specific anti-codon) for a particular amino acid; and 'wobble' base-pairing, i.e. permitting non-standard base-pairing at the 3rd anti-codon position. The record is from Rfam by way of RNAcentral. Lineage: Eukaryota; Metazoa; Arthropoda; Arachnida; Araneae; Eresidae.
GCCACCAUAGCUCAGUGGUUAGAGCGCUGGUCUCGUAAACCAGGGGUCGUGAGUUCGAACCUCCCUGGUGGCU